AAAAAGAAAGAUUAACGACAUGUGCAUGUAACAAACUGAGCGAUGUUCGACCUUAACAUCUAUUACAAAACUAUCAAUAUCUAGAUGAUGCGCUUAAAAAAUUCUUUCACAAUAUCAGGAAAGUCGCCUUUAGCUUCAUUCCUACGAUGUUUUAGCAAGUAUAACAAAAUUCAUGCCAAGUUUUUAAGAUAAGCAUCGACAUGAGGUUGGGACCUUUUUUAUUUUGUUCCUAGGGGGCUCCCAGUUUUCUGUCGCGGCAGCCUGCAACCAUGAAUCAUGUUAGCACGAAACAUUCCAUCAUGCUGAGUUAAUGUAACAAGAGCACAACUGAAGUAAAGAAGAUCAAAAGAUGAAAAAAUAGAUCAGCAUUAUAGAAAAAAAAUCCAGAUGAAUGAAUAAAACAACUCUUUCUCCUAAAUCUAACAUAGCAGAGUAUGCAUGUCUAGCUACUAAAAUUACUACACAUGCAAUGUAGUUUUUUUAAGAUCCAAUAAGCUCAUAACCAUGUUUAACACGAGAAAUAAUUGGACUAAAAGGAGAAAACAGAGGAAUAUGAAAGGUAUGAGACUUGGAAAGGAUGUCUAGAAACUAAUAGGAGGCACACUGUUAUCAACACAUAUGAAAGAACACUCUUCAAGUUACAAAAGGAACUUCGUUUGAUGUCCUAAGCUAAUUUAGUCUCCACCGUAUGCAUUGUUAUUAUCUUAUAGUACAAAAUAAAAUAAAAACUAAUUAUACCUCCAGAUGUUUAUACUACAUGGAAGAUAAUUAUUGGAGAAAAACGACCAAUAAAGCAUGACCGAAGUUUAAAAUUUGCAUCCCUAAAAAGUAAUCAUUGUACCAAAGGAUUUGAUCUAUGAGAAUUUUCCUUUUUCCCAAGCAACAACAUCGAACUUUUCAGGAGAAGGGUAUAUACAAUAUUUACUAAACUGAAUGCUUUCCACCUAUUUCUAAAAGGAAUGGAUCCUUCAUCUAGUCCUUUGCUAUCUCGUACAAAUUCCUUAAAGAGUACACCUACACUGCGGCAAAUAAUGCAAUGCCUAGAGGUAAAUCUAUCGAUUUUGGCACAUACGUACUUGCAUGGUGUUCUCCUCCUCUAUCAGCAUUUGUCAGUCCAAUUUGUGCCUGCAUGAACAAUCCACUUCAGUUAAGAACAUUGUACAAAAGUAGGCACAUUAGUUUAUUGGAUGGAAGUGGUAAGGAAUAAACACUAAAACAUAGUUCCUGAUAUUAGCUAUUAAAGCUGGAGCAUAAUUUUCACACCAAGUAAGUCCCUACAGAAAACACACAUCAAAAGAUGAGAGAACUUUCAUGGACAUGAAACAAAAUAAAUCUGAAUGAAUCCAUUUAUAUGAUUUAUAUGCAAGAACAAUGUGUGGAUGCUGUCUUAGAAGAUGUCCUUUGAAAGAUCUAUUCAUCGGAAGGCAGCGGGAUUUGUAUUGAUCCUUAUAUAUUGUCCAAAUUUCUAUAUUGGAACCCAACAGAAAUUGCACACAUUUAGCUUGAAGUGCAGAUUUAUAGAAAUUAACUGUGAGCGACAUUCUCUAAUAAUUAAUUAUACAUUCUGAUUUCAACUAACCCAUGAUCACAGAAGCAGAAGCAAACAACUCACUUCCUUCACAAUAGCAAGCCAAUUUGAUCACAGAAGGCAAUGAUUAACUGACUUAUCCAUGUGUGUGUGUAUGUUAAAGUUUACAACACAAUAUCUAUUCAGCGGCAGAACCUUGAUUUUAUUUUCUUGUAUGUGCAAAGUUGAACCGCUAGUGGCCUCACCUCUGAGCCCAUGCCCCACCUUUGAAAGCCUGUGAUCAAACGAGAGAUGGGAGUAAGCACAGUAUCCUGCAGUCAAAUGAGAGAGGGAUUGACAAAGGGGAAUUGAAAGUGAACAAAAAGAAAAGCAAAUUCUUGAAGUGAACUCUUUCCCAGAACUGAGAAAGGGG
This 1940-nucleotide long non-coding RNA is filed under the name Triticum aestivum (bread wheat). RNAcentral describes it as "long non-coding RNA (TAES_LNC024329)". Lineage: Eukaryota; Viridiplantae; Streptophyta; Magnoliopsida; Poales; Poaceae. The record is from RNAcentral.